Long non-coding RNA from Notothenia coriiceps (black rockcod), 845 nucleotides. RefSeq lists it as uncharacterized. Lineage: Eukaryota; Metazoa; Chordata; Actinopteri; Perciformes; Nototheniidae. The record is from RefSeq and is a predicted model, not a curated record. The transcript has 3 exons.
ACCCUAGCUGACCAGUUGGCAGUUCAGACGAGCUGCACUCUUUCCAUGAGGGAUUAGAAUCUAACAAAGGAAAAGUUCUGAACAAGUCAAACGUCAAAGGGAAGAUCUUCCAGAGGUUAACAGAAAAGUAGCAAUAACAAACGGUAAUCCAGAAAGGAUUGGAGGUGGGUUUGGUUGGAGGCAGCAGGGAUGUGCAGUGCGGCUGGUGCAGGUAGAGCGGAGCUGGAGUGCAGCGUCCUGGAAGAGGACUGGCAGAGAGGACAGAGAUACAUGGCUCACUGGCACAGCUUCACCAUCGUGCCACAGCAUCAGCAGAGGCCAAUUGUGAUGGAGGCAGAACGCUCAGAAAAACACGGGGAGGCCAAGAGGCUCCUCCAGCGGUUCCUUUCUGGUGCCAUGGGGCCGAAGUUGCAACAAGCUCAUGUCAUGUGCAAGCAAAGGAGCAAAGAGCUCUGCUUGAGAGGCAAAUGAGAGGAAGACUGUUGGAAAGAUGAAAACAUGUUCAAUAUUUUAACAAAGUAUUAUAGUAUACUACUGUAUUAUUGUUUUCAGUUUGAAUAAUUACUAUGUAUGCAAUACAAGAUUCUUGUUGUAGUAUAAUUUGUUUUGUUGGCUGAAUUAUGUCAUUUAAAAAUAAUCAAAAUGUUUAUGUAAUAUGUUACAUUUUUUAGUGAUGUGAAAGGAAAUUCGUUUUUACUGUUACACAGAGAUUUCACUUUAUAAGGACAGUAGAAUUUCCUUAUAUUUAUGUCAAGAUUAGCAUAAGCAUAGAUUUUGUUAUAGCAAUGUGUACAGUUGAAGAAAUUACGAGAUUAAAAAUAAAUCUUCCAUGUAUUUAAUAUGGA